AAGCAUAUCAAUAAGCGGAGGAAAAGAAACUAACAAGGAUUCCCCUAGUAACUGCGAGUGAAGCGGGAAGAGCUCAAAUUUAAAAUCUGGCGUGCCUCCGGUCGUCCGAGUUGUAGUCUGGAGAAGUGUUUUCCGUGUUGGACCGUGUAUAAGUCUCUUGGAACAGGGCGUCAUAGAGGGUGAGAAUCCCGUCUUUGACACGGACUACCAAUACUUUGUGAUGCACUCUCAAAGAGUCGAGUUGUUUGGGAAUGCAGCUCAAAAUGGGUGGUAAAUUCCAUCUAAAGCUAAAUAUAGGCGAGAGACCGAUAGCGAACAAGUACCGUGAGGGAAAGAUGAAAAGCACUUUGGAAAGAGAGUUAAACAGUACGUGAAAUUGCUGAAAGGGAAACGCUUGAAGUCAGUCAUGUCUGCCAGGACUCAGCCUCGCUUCUGCUUGGUGCACUUUCUGGUUUGAUGGGCCAACAUCAAUUUUGACCGUUGGAGAAAGGCUUUGGGAAUGUGGCACCUUUGGGUGUGUUAUAGCCCUUUGUUGUAUACAACGGUUGGGAUUGAGGACCGCAGCACGCCUUUAUGGCCGGGGUUCGCCCACGUA
Molecule: ribosomal RNA, 595 nt
Filed under: Thelephora pallidobrunnea
Lineage: Eukaryota; Fungi; Basidiomycota; Agaricomycetes; Thelephorales; Thelephoraceae
Description: Tomentella pallidobrunnea partial large subunit ribosomal RNA
Rfam family: Eukaryotic large subunit ribosomal RNA
Source: RNAcentral